GGACUUGCCCUUCCAGGAGUAUGUGGAGC
Molecule: non-coding RNA, 29 nt
Filed under: Homo sapiens (human)
Lineage: Eukaryota; Metazoa; Chordata; Mammalia; Primates; Hominidae
Source: RNAcentral